This 212-nucleotide unclassified non-coding RNA is filed under the name Tremellomycetes sp. Its description in RNAcentral is "partial contains small subunit ribosomal RNA, internal transcribed spacer 1, and 5.8S ribosomal RNA". The stretch from base 1 to 46 matches the Rfam family "Eukaryotic small subunit ribosomal RNA", at positions 1786 to 1831 of the family's 1831-position model. The record is from RNAcentral. Lineage: Eukaryota; Fungi; Basidiomycota; Tremellomycetes.
AAGUCGUAACAAGGUCUCCGUAGGUGAACCUGCGGAGGGAUCAUUAAAGAGCGAGCGCGGAGACGCGCAACCUCCAACCCUUUGUGUGCGAAACCGCGUUGCCUCCGGGGUGCGAGAGCGCCCCGGGUGGACCACUCAAAACACUGCAUUUUUGCGUCUGAGUAUAUUAUCAAAUAACAUUAAAACUUUCAACAACGGAUCUCUUGGUUCUG